UCGGUGACAGGUGGUGCAUGGUUGUCGUCAGCUCGUGUCGUGAGAUGUUGGUUAAGUCCCGCAACGAGCGCAACCCCUAUUGUUAGUUGCCAUCAUUCAGUUGGGCACUCUAGCGAGACUGCCGGUAAUAAACCGGAGGAAGGUGGGGAUGACGUCAAAUCAUCAUGCCCCUUAUGACCUGGGCUACACACGUGCUACAAUGGUUGGUACAACGAGUUGCGAGUCGGUGACGGCGAGCUAAUCUCUUAAAGCCAAUCUCAGUUCGGAUUGUAGGCUGCAACUCGCCUACAUGAAGUCGGAAUCGCUAGUAAUCGCGGAUCAGCACGCCGCGGUGAAUACGUUCCCGGGCCUU
Molecule: ribosomal RNA, 352 nt
Filed under: uncultured Streptococcus sp.
Lineage: Bacteria; Bacillati; Bacillota; Bacilli; Lactobacillales; Streptococcaceae
Description: bacterial SSU rRNA
Rfam family: Bacterial small subunit ribosomal RNA
Source: RNAcentral